RNAcentral lists this ribosomal RNA (370 nucleotides) under uncultured prokaryote. RNAcentral's name for it is "bacterial SSU rRNA". It matches the Rfam family "Bacterial small subunit ribosomal RNA", at positions 524 to 896 of the family's 1533-position model. The record is from RNAcentral.
UACGGAGGAUCCAAGCGUUAUCCGGAUUUAUUGGGUUUAAAGGGUCCGUAGGCGGAUCUUUAAGUCAGUGGUGAAAGCCUGCAGCUUAACUGUGGAAAUGCCAUUGAUACUGGAGAUCUUGAGUGUAGUAGAAGUAGGCGGAAUAGGGCAUGUAGCGGUGAAAUGCAUAGAUAUGCCCUAGAACACCGAUUGCGAAGGCAGCUUACUAUGUUACAACUGACGCUGAGGGACGAAAGCGUGGGGAGCAAACAGGAUUAGAUACCCUGGUAGUCCACGCCGUAAACGAUGAUUACUCGUUGCUGGCGAUAUACAGUCAGUGACCAAGCGAAAGCAUUAAGUAAUCCACCUGGGGAGUACGCCGGCAACGGUG